UUUUAAGUAUAAUUAUGUCCCAUACAAUAUGUGGGAUAUACUUAUACUAAAA
This 52-nucleotide microRNA precursor is filed under the name Oryctolagus cuniculus (rabbit). Its description in RNAcentral is "mir-1302 microRNA precursor family". It matches the Rfam family "mir-1302 microRNA precursor family". The record is from Rfam by way of RNAcentral. Lineage: Eukaryota; Metazoa; Chordata; Mammalia; Lagomorpha; Leporidae.